RNAcentral lists this ribosomal RNA (253 nucleotides) under uncultured bacterium. RNAcentral's name for it is "partial 16S ribosomal RNA". It matches the Rfam family "Bacterial small subunit ribosomal RNA", at positions 524 to 776 of the family's 1533-position model. The record is from RNAcentral.
UACGUAGGGACCAAGCGUUGUUCGGAUUUACUGGGCGUAAAGGGCGCGUAGGCGGCGCGGUAAGUCACUUGUGAAAUCUCUGAGCUUAACUCAGAACGGCCAAGUGAUACUGCAGUGCUAGAGUGCAGAAAGGGCAAUCGGAAUUCUUGGUGUAGCGGUGAAAUGCGUAGAUAUCAAGAGGAACACCUGAGGCGAAGGCGGGUUGCUAGGCUGACACUGACGCUGAGGCGCGAAAGCUAGGGGAGCGAACGGG